RNAcentral lists this ribosomal RNA (259 nucleotides) under uncultured Pseudomonas sp. Its description in RNAcentral is "partial 16S ribosomal RNA". It matches the Rfam family "Bacterial small subunit ribosomal RNA", at positions 1126 to 1382 of the family's 1533-position model. Lineage: Bacteria; Pseudomonadati; Pseudomonadota; Gammaproteobacteria; Pseudomonadales; Pseudomonadaceae. The record is from RNAcentral.
UUAUGGUGGGCACUCUAAGGAGACUGACCGGUGACAAACCGGAGGAAGGUGGGGAUGACGUCAAGUCAUCCAUGGCCCUUACGGCCUGGGCUACACACGUGCUACAAUGGUCGGUACAAAGGGUUGCCAAGCCGCGAGGUGGAGCUAAUCCCAUAAAACCGAUCGUAGUCCGGAUCGCAGUCUGCAACUCGACUGCGUGAAGUCGGAAUCGCUAGUAAUCGUGAAUCAGAAUGUCACGGUGAAUACGUUCCCGGGCCUU